Paramormyrops kingsleyae is the source of this 1134-nucleotide non-coding RNA. The record is from RefSeq and is a predicted model, not a curated record. Lineage: Eukaryota; Metazoa; Chordata; Actinopteri; Osteoglossiformes; Mormyridae.
UCACUUUUUGAAUAUUUAUAGGGAGAACUGGGGUUAUUUACCAAGUUACCCUUGGGCCCUGGUAGACCCUUGCCCCCCGGUUGACCUGGUACCCCCUCUUUGCCAUGUAGCCCACAUGUUCCUGGGGGUCCUGGAAGUCCUCUGUCCCCUUUCAGUCCAAAUCCAGGUUCAAUGUCAUCAUCUCCCUUACAUCCCUGCGGGCCUGGAUAACCCAUAAUCCCCUGCGGGCCCUGAGAUGAGUACAGAGAUAAUGGCAGAGAAGCCAUGACUGACCUGCUUUCUUGUUCUUGACAUGAAUGCUAAGUGUUAAAUGCUAGAUGGAUGUGUGCUUGAGGGCUCCAGAAAGAACACUGUUUAAGGAAGAAGCUGUCUGGCAGAAGAGCCAUGGACCAUCUCAGCAGAUUUGUGAUCACAGCACCUGGGAGUCCUGGAGAUCCAGGUGGGCCAGUGCAACCUGAAACAUAAGGCAAAGUUCUCAUGCCCAAGUUCUUCAGGUGUGGCUGACAGGCAUGGAGAGGAGUCCGGUAAUAAUACCUGGGCGGCCAGGAAGGCCUUGCUGACCUGGUGCACCAGGCAAUCCAGGCUGUCCUUUGAGGGCUCUGUCAAGUACUACCUUCUGUUUAAGAAGAUUGAAGGGUGACCCUGGAUCGCCCUUUUCACCUAUAUCACCCGGGUCCCCCUGCGAUGACAGAGGUCAGUGAAGGAAUUCCUGGAGGUCCUGGUUCCCCCUGUACAACGGAAUCAUAGGAAGUGAUGCGUAGCGCUGUCCAGCCUGGUCCAUGACCAAGGUGGUACAGGACUGGGCAGGGACUCCAAUUGCCACUCUGACUCAAAUCUCAGCUGUCAUUUCCCACCUUUUGGCCUGGAGGUCCUGCGAUACCCGAGCUUCUCCCUUCCAGACCCUGAACAGAGACAUAGAGCCCUGACGGUCCAGGGGGUCCAGGAGCCCCCGGUGGUCCUGUUUGGCCCUGAAAACCAGGCCAGAGGGUUUGACAGUACCAGGAGGGACGUCUUGGAUGACAGGAGUUAAAGCUGUCCUCACCUUAGCACCAUAACUACCUGGAGCACCACGCUGACCUUUCUCUUCGACGGAGGAUAAGUUGGAGUCCCCCUGUAGGGACAUCCGGCGAGAGA